RNAcentral lists this ribosomal RNA (253 nucleotides) under uncultured bacterium. RNAcentral's name for it is "partial 16S ribosomal RNA". It matches the Rfam family "Bacterial small subunit ribosomal RNA", at positions 524 to 776 of the family's 1533-position model. The record is from RNAcentral.
GACAGAGGAUGCAAGCGUUAUCCGGAAUGAUUGGGCGUAAAGCGUCUGUAGGUGGCUUUUUAAGUCUGCCGUCAAAUCCCAGGGCUUAACCCUGGACAGGCGGUGGAAACUACCAAGCUGGAGUACAGUAGGGGCAGAGGGAAUUUCCGGUGGAGCGGUGAAAUGCGCAGAUAUCAGGAGGAACACCCGUGGCGAAAGCGGCUCUCUGGGACGGUACUGACGCUGAGACGCGAAAGCGUGGGGAGCAAACAGG